This 948-nucleotide ribosomal RNA is filed under the name uncultured Ktedonobacter sp. Its description in RNAcentral is "bacterial SSU rRNA". It matches the Rfam family "Bacterial small subunit ribosomal RNA", at positions 448 to 1398 of the family's 1533-position model. The record is from RNAcentral. Lineage: Bacteria; Bacillati; Chloroflexota; Ktedonobacteria; Ktedonobacterales; Ktedonobacteraceae.
GUCAACCGAAGUUUAUUUCGGGAUCCGGUUACCUUAAUGGAGGAGGCCAGCCUAACCUACGUGCCAGCAGGCGCCGCUAUACGUAAGGGGGCAAGCGUUGUCCGGAAUUUUAUUAGGGCGUAAAAGAGCGCGGCAGGCGGUCUUUCAAAGUUUCGAGUGACAGGUGGGGGCCUUAACCCCUGCAGGCCUCGGAAAACUGGAGGACUUGAGGACUGGCGAGGGAUGCGGAAUUCCAGGUGGAGCGGUGAAAUGCGUAGAGAUCUGGAAGAACACCAAAGGCGAAGGCAGCAUCCUGGCAAGUCCCUGACGCUGAGGCGCGAAAGCUAGGGGAGCGAACGGGAUUAGAUACCCCGGUAGUCCUAGCCGUAAACGAUGACCACUAGACGUGGGAGGUAUCGACCCCUUCCGUGUCGCCGCUAACGCUUGAAGUGGUCCGCCUGGGGAGUACGGUCGCAAGAUUAAAACUCAAAGGAAUUGACGGGGACCCGCACAAGCAGCGGAGCGUGUGGUUUAAUUCGAUGCAACGCGAACAACCUUACCAAGGCUUGACAUGGACUUGCACCAACCGUAAUGGGUUGUCCGGGAAACCGGCAGGUUCACAGGUGCUGCAUGGCUGUCGUCAGCUCGUGUCGUGAGAUGUUGGGUUAAGUCCCGCAACGAGCGCAACCCCUAUCGUGAGUUACACCUUUCUCGCGAGACUGCCACGCUAAACGUGGAGGAAGGUGGGGAUGACGUCAAGUCAGCACGGCCCUUACGCCUUGGGCGACACACACGCUACAAUGGUCAGCACAAAGAGCAGCCAACCAGCAAUGGGGAGCCAAUCUCAUCAAAGCUGAUCUCAGUUCAGAUUGCAGGCUGCAACCCGCCUGCAUGAAGUCGGAGUUGCUAGUAACCGUAGGUCAGCACACUACGGUGAAUACGUUCCCGGGUCUUGCACUCACCCCCGUC